Long non-coding RNA from Brassica rapa (field mustard), 12634 nucleotides. RefSeq lists it as uncharacterized. The record is from RefSeq and is a predicted model, not a curated record. Lineage: Eukaryota; Viridiplantae; Streptophyta; Magnoliopsida; Brassicales; Brassicaceae.
CGUUAAGUACACGUAAAAUAUUUCGUCGUAAAGCACUCGCGAAAUUUACGUGGCUUUUACGAGGAAAAACUAUUUCCUCGUAAAAGCCACGUCAAUUUACAUCGUCUUUACGACGAAUAUGUUUUAUCGUUACCUUACGACGAAAUAACGAUGCUUUUCUUUCUCCACGUACUUUCCUCGCAAAAUCAACGUUUUUUUACGAGGAUUAUUUUUCCUCGUUAAACUUCCUCGUUAAAGUUACGUUUUAUUGUAGUGGUUAGAUUACGUAGGUAUAAUUGGUUUUUUCUAACAGUAGUUAACUAAUUGAUUACAUCAUCAUACAAUAUCUAUUUUAUUACAUAUGAUGAAUAUUGCAUUACAUGCGGACAUGAUGAACAGUAGCUCUACCUAAAGAACUUUAAAACUUCUGAAAAGCUUGCAACUUAUAAUCUUCAAAAAAAUUGCACUCCCUACCCAUACCUAGUGUAAAAACUUUUAACUUUGACCAUUAAAAACGGUGCUUCCAUAGGGUAUAAUUUCUUCUAAAAUUACUAUUAUUUAUAUAUACCAACGUAAAGACAUUUCUUUUAAAAUUUGUUUCACAACCCAAUAGUAGUUUUCAAAAUAAUAGUAUGUAGUAUAAAUUCCAUAUGUCAACUGAAUAGAUCAAAUAUUAAAUCAUGUUAACAUAUCUAACUAAAUAUAUAAAUAUACUGUAUAAUAGUAUGAAAUAUAAUAUGUUUAUCAAUUCAAAAUGCUUUAUAUAUUAUUUUAUAAAUAUAGUAUAUAAAAUAUAUUAUGUGUUAUGCAUAAAAUACAUUUUUAUAUCAUUUGACGAAAUAUAUUAUAAAUAUAUUUAUUGUUUUUCUCUACGAGUUUCAUAUGAUAGUCAAACACUAUAUAAAAUAUAUGCUACAAAAUAUUGGACAUUUUGCAAAUAUAACUCAAAACUCAAAGUAAAGCACAAAACUAAUCCAUGAUUUUUUUUGAAACUUUCAUUUGCCCUAUUCACUCCGAAAGUUUAGAUUAUUUACGAAAAUAUCAUUAUUAUUAUAAUUAUUAUUCAAAAAUAAGUUUUUUACUCUCUCUCAUCCUCAUCUUCUUCAAGUAUUUAAAAUAUUGCCAUUGCCAUCAAUACACCAACUACUAUGAACAACCAAUUUGAAGCUUUUAAUGUACCUAAAAAAUCGAUUUUGACUCAUAUCUCAUUUCUUAUGAACUAAAAACAACAUCUCUUUCACUUUAUCUCUAUAUUCAUCCAAAAAACCCAAGAUUUUGAUUCGAAAUUUUUUAAGGUUUAUAGAAUCAUUCAAGCUCAUGAUUUGUGGUCAUUAACAAGUAGGUUGCUUCUGUGGUGAAGUAUUGUGUGGUUGGAGAAGCUAAACACGUUAUCUCACUGGUUAAAGCUAUAAAAUCAAUCUUUUUCUAGAUUUGUCCGUUAGAAGACUUUCGUGUAAGUAUUCUCCGACGAGAAGACUUACACAGAAGUCUUUGGUCAAUCCAUAGGUUAGUUUCGCAAUUGACUUUAUGUGUGUCUUUUAGAGACGACUUCUUUGGAAGUCCUCCGGUUUUCUUUGUUUAAAAAAAAAAUAGAGAAGACAACCUGGUAUCGUAUAGGAUAAACAGGUUAGUUUUGCAUUUGAGCGGAUUGUGUCAGAAAUUUGACUUUUCCAAGACGAUUUAUUAGACGACUUCCAAAUAAGUAGUUUCAAGCUACUUUUGCAAUUAAAAAAUAAAACUUUAAUAUAUAAUUUCCUCCGGACGACUUCCAUGUAAGUCUUAUGGUAGACGACUUACACAUAAGUUUUCUAGGAUUUUAUUCCGAGAUUCAAGUCAAAUCUUGGUUAUUACAGAAGAAGACUUAUGUGUAAGUCGUCUGCCGGAAGACUUACAUGGAAGUCGUCCGGAUAAAUAAAAUAUUGAAGUUUUAUUUUUCAAUUGCAAAAGUAACUUGAAACGACUUAAGUGGAAGUCGUCUAAAAAUAUAUAUUUUAUUUUAUUUUUCUGUUGGACAACUUUCGUGUAAGUCGUCUAAGAAAAAUCAAAUUUCUGACAAAAUCCGGUCAAAUGCAAAAAUAACAUACUUAUCCUAGACGAUUUCCAUGUAAGUCAUCUAGGAAAAGUAAAAUUCCUGACACAUAAAGUCAAUUGCAAAACUAAUCUAUGCAUUGACCAGAAUAAGUCUUCCGAACGACUUCCGUGUAAGUCUUCCGGACGACUUCCGUGUAAGUCUUCCGGACGACUUCCGUGUAAGUCUUCCGGACGACUUCCGUGGAAGUCUUCCGGACGGACUUCCGUGGAAGUCCUCAACGUUUAAUAAAAUUUCAUUUUCUUUAAAACUAUAAAUACUUUUUAACAUUUUCUUGUUAACUCAUGUAUACUAGUCAAUAUUGGGGCUCUUGAAUGGAAUUCAUAAAUUAAUUGGUGAUAAUUAUGAGGUUAACAACAUGCAUGCUUAUUAAUGUUUCUAGCUAAUGAGAGAAUACAUUAGUUUUUGUAAAACUUGUAUUUUCAACUCUAAGAUAUAUUUUUUUUAACUUUCAAAAGUGUUAAGUAACUUCAAAAAUAUCAAGUUAUAUGGUUUAAUGUGUCUUUUUAGAUCAUAAGAUAUACUUUUUAACUUUAAUGAAAUUUGAAAUUUUUAUUUUCAUUUAAAAUUUGAGUUUUCCGCUUAAAUUUUAAUUUCCCCGCUUAAAUUUCCCCCUUAUAUUUAAAUUUCUCGCUUGAAAUUUAAGUCUUCCAGAAGACUUCUAUUGAAUCUGUUAUAGGUUUGAAAUAAUGUAAUGUUUGAUCUUUUGUGAUUUUGACUUAUUUUUUCUUGAGAAAUUUUCUCCAUUAGUAAAAUUUGACUAAUCUUUUGUAUUAUUGUGGUUUGCUUUUGAAAUUGUAUCAAUAACUUCAAUAAUGUCAAGUACUUUUGGCAAGAUAAUAUUGUAGAGAUGAACAUAUUUACCAAUAUUAUUAAUAUCUUUUCAAUGUACAAAAUAAUUCACAACUAAAAGAGUACAAAUACAAAUUACAAAACAGACCAUAAAUAAAACAAUUAUUGCUCAUUCCUCCACAAAGACAAGCUUAGACUCCACUUGACAUGAGAGAAGACUUUGUCAGAAGACUUCCAGGAAGUCGUCUAGUGCAUUAAAUGUUAGAAGACAUCUGAGAAGAAAAACUUCAUAUCCAAAGCAUUCAAAUGGUUUGUCUCAGAUAUAAAAAAACCUUCAUAUCCAAAGCAUUCAAAUGGUUUUAAAACAAAGAAAAACUUCAAAAAUAAGGGAAGAGCUUAAAACAACCAAAAGAAUUUUCAAAAAGUAAGAGAUUUAAGCAACAAGAAGUUACCAAAUAACAAAAUAUGAUUUAUAGAUCUAUCUUUAAAGGAGUGGAAGAUGAGAACCAUGUACUGAAAAACCUACAAAACAAGAUGAAUUAGUGAGAAUGACAUGAGACAAAAAAAAUGAUAAAUUGAUAUAAAGUUUUGGUGUUUACAAAAAAAUGAUAAAUUAUGAAAAAGAUAAGAGCUUUAAGCAACUAGAGCUACCAAAGGAAAAAAAAAGACAUAUAAACUUAACAAAACACUCAGAUCUGAAAUGAAAGAGGAUACAUAGGAGAAGACUACGCCAUAAGUCUUCUCCAGCGACUUUAGUCUUCUAGCGCAUUAAAUAUUAGAAGACUUCUGAGAAGAGAAUACUUCCUUGGAAGUCUUCCACGUCUGUCUCAGAAUUGAAAAACCUGCAUAUCCAAAAGCAUUCAAAUGACUUCAAACCAUAGAAAAACUUUAAAAUAAAGGUACGAGCUUAGAACAACCAAAAGAGUUUUCAAAAAGUAAGAGCUUUAAGAAACAAUAAGUUACCAAAUAAGAAAAUAUGAUUUAUAGAUCUACCUUUAAGAGAGUAGAAGAUGAGAACCAUAUAAUAAAAACCUGCAAAAACAAAAUAAAUUAGUGAGAAGACAUGAAAUAACUAUUAAUUGAUAUAAAGUUUCGUGUUUAAAGAUUAAAUAGAUUAGAGAGAGGUUGACGAGUUUUAGAAUGAGAAACAUUACAUUUUUUGCAGUUAUUUGAGAGGAAUAGAGCAAAUGUGUAAAUUUUCUUUAUAAAGGGAGACAAAAAUUUCAAUAAGGUUAUAUUUUUUCGAUUCAGAAGACUUUCAAGUAAGUCUUCUAAUAGAAGACUUCCUAUAAGACUUAUUUGAAAGUGUUUAAUAUACAAAACUAAACAUAUAUAUGUCAAAAAAAAAAAAAUUUAAAAAAUGUUAAGCUUCCAAAAUCUAACCCUAAGAAUACAUAUAAUAAUACAACAUAUGUUGUCAAACCUUAAACCAAAGAAUAUUAUGAUUCACUACUUUCACUUAUCUAUGUUGAAAAUAAUUCAAUUUUAUUAUAUUUUAAUUUAUAUCACUUGCAACUUUUUAUAAUUACAUGAUUUCAAUUUUUUUCCUAACAAAAUAUUUUUUUUUACAAAAUUUAUAAAUUAUUUUCACAACAAGAAAACACAAUUUUAAUGACGAAAAAUAACAAGGAAAAAAAGUCCUUGUAAAAUUAAUUCUUCUUUACGAGUAUCUUAAGAGGAAAAAAUAAAUCUACAUAAUUUCGUCGUAAAGUAACGACAAUAAAGUUUCAUCGUAAAAACGACGCAAUUUAACAUGGUUUUUACGAGGAAACAAGGUUUCGUCGUAAAGUAGACGUAAAUAUAACGAGCACUUUACGACGAAAUAUUUUACGUUUAUUUAGAGUCGAUAUCUUGAGUGCACCAACUUUUUAGUUGAACACGUUUUUGUUUCGGCUAGCUAACUAUAUUUUCUUCCAUACCCUCGGUUGAGAGAAUUAGAAAUAAAUUGGUUAGCCGUUAUCAAAGUUACACCUAGUGGACGAACAAUCGGUGGAGAAGAACAACCUUUUCAAGAAGAACACAUCAAUGAAGUCAAGGAACCUGAACAACAAACUGAUGACAUCCUUCUCAUUGAUCCGCAUAAUCAUGAGUACGAAAAUCUUCCCGACGAUACCACUGACGAAGUUGUUGAAGACGAGUUUAAUGGAAAUGAUGAUGUUUCUAGUGAUGACGAGAAUGUCAAUGAUGUAUCCGAAUGAUGAUGUAAUUUUUUUUAAAUGAUUUACUGUCAGACUUAAUGCAUGUGUUUGGUUUGUUUAAUCAUGAAAAUUAAAUUAUAUAAUUUGAUUUUGUGUAAGGCAAUUGGGGGUUUGGGAUUUGGGAAGAAGAGAUUGAGAUUAUAAGUUAAGGAACUUGGGGUUUGGGGUUUCGGGUUAUAAGGAUUUACAUAUCUUUCUCGUAAAAUCCUCAUAAAAAAAACAUGGGCCUUGUUAUUUCCUCAUAAAAUAACGAGGUCUUUUCGACGAAAUUUAAAAACACUUCGUCGUAAACUACUCGUAAAAAGAAAACGUGGGCCUUGUUAUUUCUUCGUAAGUUUACGUGGACUUUACAACGAAAAUUAAAAAUGCAUGUGUUUAGUUUGUUUAAUCAUGAAAAUUAAAUUAUAUAAUUUGAUUUUGCGUAAAGAAAUUGGGGGUUUCGGGUUUUAGGGAUUUACAUAUAUUCCUCGUAAAGUCCUCGUAAAAGAAAAAACACGGACCUUGCUACUUCCUCGUAAAAAGAAAAAAAAUAGGCCUUGUUAUUUUUUCGUAAAUUAGCGAGGUGUUUACGAUAAAAUUUAAAAACACUUCGUCGUAAACUACUCGUAAAAAAACACGGGCCUUGUUAUAUCCUCGUAAAUUUACGACGAAAAUUAAAAAUGAAAAGACGGACCUUGUUACUUCCUCGUAAUUUCACGAGGAUUUUAUGACAAAAUAUAAAACUCUAUAUAUACUCGAACCAUCUAACUUCUCAUUUCGUAGUCACUUCCUCUCCUCCGCAUAGCAAGGUACUCCUGUCUACUUCCUCUCUAGUUUAGCUUAGGUGGUUAGUUUAGUGUAAUUAGGUUGGUUAGGUGGUUAGUGUAGGGAAUUUGUAGAUAUGUUUAUGGAAUUUGUUGAUAAUAUAUGAUGAUGAGUUUUAAAUGUUAAUUAUCGAUUUAUAUGUUUUCUUUUUAGAUGGUUAAUAAUGAAAUUUUUUUUUCCAGAUGGUUAGACAGAACAAGCUUACAGGAGAUGCGGAGACAAAAUCCCGUUCCAGAGCCACCCCGCACACAAGAAUGAGGAAGAAGUAGAGAGAGGAGGAGUCAAGACCUCUUCAAGGAGAUGUAGAACAACAACCCUUAGUUUUUUUUCUCUUUUUAUCUAUACUAUUAAAGCAAAAUCUCUUAUAGGAUUCUACCCUUAGUUUUUCCCUAUAAUUACAGUACCAUGCCACUGGCUUUUUCUUAAAAAAAAAUACAAAAAGGAAAAUACUACAAAAAAAUAUAUCAAGCAUAUUUCCAAAACAAUCGACACAUGCAAUUCGGGUUUCAUAUAGAAGAUUCAAAGCACCAGAAACAUUUAACUUUUCCAUAACCUACAUAUAUAAAAAAAACGAGUAUGUUACUGAGUUUGACCAUAAACUCAAAAGUGAUUCAAAGCACCCGAAACAUUUCCCUUUCGUUUUCAGAGAGUACAAAUGUGUGUCAUUCAUAUUUUUAUAUCAUAUAACAAAACUGUAAAUACUAAUGCAUAUACUCAUUUCAAAAUAUUAUUUAGAACUACUCUCACGUCAUAAAUCCCUUUCUUAUUAAAAGGGAAUUACUCUUAAAAACCUCAAAAAGUUAGGAGAGAAUUACUCUUAACAACCUCAAAAGGUUAAUGAGAAAUUGAGAACUAUUAAAUCACAAUGAUCAACAUUUUUCACAAGUUGCUAAGCUCUAUAGUUAGUAUAACCGUUGGUUUGUCUAAUAAGUUUGCUACAAUAAAUAUUUGUCAUAUAAAGGGCCGCUCAAACAUCUUAUAGGUCCUAGGGCAAAAAAGAAACAAAGACCCUUUAACAUAUAAAUUACAAAAAUACAAUUCAUAAUAUUACUGCUACAAAUCAAAAUAUUCACAUUUUUAAUCAACAAACAAACACUAAAGAGUAGUUUUUGUUUUUAAACGUAAACAUAACCAAAAACAUAGCCAAAAAAAAGAAAGAAUAUGUGAUCUUUCUAGAAGAUCAAGUGUAUAGAAAAAAAAAAACAGAAAACAUGACAGCAAACGUAAAUUCAUAAUGAAAUUCUUAGAAAAUAAUUUAUUUAAUCCAAUUUUCAGUUGAAGUUAGAAUCUUUGAAGAAUAAACUAUUUUACUAAACUAUGGCAUUUAAAAUUAAAUUAUGCCUCGCAUAGAAAAAGUUUGUAGAAAGAAUUAUUUUAUGUAAAAAAGAAAGAAGUAGUCGACUUAAUAAAUAAAUUUAUUCCAGAAAUACUUAACGGCUAACUACAAUUAAUGCUAAUUUCAUUAUAUUUAUUACUAAAUUAUUAAUUUAGGUGAAAAUUUAUACUAUAAGUUAGCAUAAUGAGAUUUGGUUUCCGUAAAAUCAGAUUGUUAUUGAACAAUAUUUCUAAAUUAUGUUUGUUUAGAAAUAUCAGAUUAACUAUUUUUUGAAAAAACAAAUUGUAGGCCAGGAGCCGGGGCACUGCUCGCCCUACUACUUCAGCCGGCCCUGGUCAUACAUGUAGAAGCAAACCUUUCAAAUAUGACAUCUCUGCUUAUAUUAAAUCCCCUACAAUUACUGAAUAGUUAUUCUCAUUGUUCUCCACAACAUACUUAUCAAGCCUUUGACCUAGGAGAGAAUCCAUCUUGACUAACUCGAAAAUUUCAAUUUGAACCAAGAACCAGUGAUUAACAUUUUUCUAGAUAUGAAAAAUUAUAUUUCACUCAUGUUAUAUAAAAUUCACAAUGCAGAAGUAGUCUCAUCCCGUGCAAGACACAUCCCGUGCAAGAUACAGAUCUUAAUCUAGUUAUAUAAAGUGUUUGAAAUACUUACCGAAACGUGUGAUAUCAGCUGUGUGUAGUUAUAUAAAGUGUUUAAUUUAGGCACUACAAAUGUGUCUAUGUUUACUUAUUACAUGUUUUCUUAUUAUAUACCAAAACUAUAUAUUUAAAUGCAUGUAGUCAUUUAACAAUAUCAUUUUUAAGUCUUGCAAAUGUGUACUAUAAUUUGAGCAACAUAUACUAAAAUGUCUCAACUUACGUGCUAUUCUAUAUGUUUAAAAAAAUUAUAUUUAAAUGAUAAUUUCAAAUUUUAACAGAAUUACAGUUUGACGGUUUGCAAAUUACAAGAGAAUCUCAUAUUUUAAUUUGACCUUAAUUUUAGUAAGGAUUUGUUCGUUGUAUAACUGCUUUGAUAGAUUUUGCAAAUUAUCCUAUAAAACCAAAUAUACUCUAAAUGUUAAUUAUGUUUGACAAUAGAUUAUUAAUCAAUCUAAUCUAACCUAUACUAAAAGGCAAAUUUAGAAGGAUUCUAACAUGUCUACGUUGACAUAUAUGUUUGGCCAAUCAAAACAUUUAAUUAAUACAUGUUGGAUCUACUAAACUAAACUAUUGAUUUCAUAUGGGCUUCGAUGUGCUUCCGCUGGGCUUCGUCGGUUAACACUGGGCUUUGCUAUCCUAUCGCUACAAUCUAUCGGUACAAUUUUUUUUUUAAGAAGAACCCUAGACGGUGAACACGAGGAUCUACGCCUCAAACUCUUCGUCUUCACAGUGUGUUCUCCAUCGUUUCAGUUCUCUCGAUCCACAUCUCCACAAUCAAUACUCCACUACAUCUGGAUCCAUCAAUUUCUUCUUUAUGAUUUCGUCUCCGUUUACUCUUUUCCUUCUACUUUAUAUACUGAUUUUCUCUCCUGAGUGCAAAUCAAACCCUAGAACUUCUCUAACCUCAAUCCAUGGCAAUGAAACCGAAUGGAAAAUCCCCUAUCACCUCCGAUUAUGAUGAAAAAGUCAUGUUCUUCCGAGAUGUCUCACCGGGUCCCAACGAAACCCAGCUGCGUUUCGGCUUGAUUCAUUUCUGGGAGGCUUGGAACCCUCUAAAGAAGACGCUUAUUGGCCUUGAGAUGCUUCUAAUCGACGAACAGGGAACUGUUAUCCAAGGAUUCAUUUCGCCAGGACGUAUUGAGAUAUAUUUGCCUAAAAUGAAGCCUGGAUCGGUUUACAAGCUCAACAAUUUCUAUGGAUCAAGCAACAAAUCGGUGUAUCGGGUUUCUGAUCAUGCCGUGACGGUGUCGUUCUCAUGGAACUCUGAACUGUCUGUUCUUGAAGACAGUCCCACCCCUUUUGAUGAAGACAGAUUCCGAUUUCAUUCCAUUGAGGAUUUUCAAGCUAACUGCGAUCGCAAAGGAGACCUCUACGGUAAUCUCUGUUAUCCCCCACACAAUCUUUUUGUUACAGUGCUUGCUGAUUAGAUGUGGUAUUUAGUCUUUCUUGCUGCUCAGAUAUAUAAAUCUCGAAUUUUGCUUAAAAUGUGUUUUAGGUUUGUCAUAAUCAUUCUCUGAAAUAUAGUUCGUCUUUGUCAGUCUCUGAAAUCACUCUUUCAGAACAGAACAUGACAAAUGAAAUUCACUAAUUCUGUUUGUAACAUUAGGAAGGAUUUUUUACUACACUCGGGUCUUGGAAUUUUUUUGAGGGUUCUAUCGUAGCAUAGUAUGAUUAGGAUCUGUUAGCUGCUUCAUUACUAUGUGUGUUUCGGUUUUGUGUGGUCAUGAAAUAGUAGAUUACUUAUUUCGUACUCUUCUUACUUACACACUUGAUGAACAAAGGGAUAGAUGUUGUUGGCCACAUGAAGCUGGUUAAUGGACAGAGUCUCAUUGGGACCCCAGUCCUUGACGAAGUGGAGAUAGAAAGGGCGAGGCAUCUUCUGGUUCAUGUGCAGUCACAAGAGUAUGUUUUUUAUUAUUUCUUAAACACCCUUUCUCUCUACUUCUAUUAACCAUUCAGUGAAAAUAUUUUGCAGUGGACCUGUGAUGAAGCUCUACCUUUGGGACCAGGCUGCAAGAGACUUCUGCAAAAAAUUCAAAUCAUACGAAAAUACCCCCACUGUGUUAUUAGUUACGACCUUUAACACUAAGAGUCUCGGAGGUUACGAUUUCUAUCUUUAAUAAAGCUUUCUUACAGUUAGAUAUCUACUCUUUAUGUUGUUUAAAUGGGUUUUUCUUAAUACAACAGGUACUCUUGCCCUGACUUCAAUGUCCUCCUCACGUGUUUUAUGGACUACGAUGUCCAACCUACGAUCGACUACUUCGGCUGGUAAAUAUAUAUUUGUGUGUUUACAUGUACGCUUUCGCUACAUAACCCCAUAUCAAUGACUGACUGGAUCAAUGCUUACUACUCUGUCUCAGGUUGGGCUCUAAUCCACAGAGUGCUGAUCGGGUUAAUGCAGAAGUGCUUACUAAACGUGAGACACUGACCAUAGGAGAAAUAUUCUCCUACAUCAAGCAGGGAUCUACUAAGGUACAACUAGGUCUAAAUAUUUCUUAGUCAUUGAUCCAAAGCUUUGAGGCUUAUAUAGCUUUGCGGUGCAGGAGGCUUUUUUUGAGUGCACGGCUACGAUUGAUGAUGUGGUCCAUCGCUCAACCUGGUAUUACAUAUCAUGCAGUGGGUGCCAUACUAAGGCUAGGAAAGGCCCAACUUCGUUGAUGUGUUCGAAAUGUGGGAAAGUCAACAUAUCUGGAGUAACACAGUAUUUACUCUAUACUCAGUACUCAGUAACGCUUUGAAUGGUAUUAGCUUCUAAUUUUUUUUAUGACAGGUACCGUGCACAGAUAUCUGUCUAUAACAACAGUGAGCAAGCUGUUUUUGUACUGUUUUUCAUGACAGGUACCGUGCACAGAUAUAUGUCUAUGACAACAGUGAGCAACCAAUUUGAUGCUCUUAAUGCACAUCAAAUCGAUUUACACUUCUUAUUUCUCAAUUCUUAUGAACUAAAAACAACAUCUCUUUCUAUUUCUCUCCAUAUUCAUCCAAAAAAAACUCAAGAUUUUGAUUCUAAAUUUUUUAUGGUUUAUAGAGCCAUUGAGGCUUACGAUUCUUGGUGGGUCACUUUUUUUUUGAGAUUUUGGGUGCUUGAGAAUAUUUAUAUGUGCUAAACAAGUUAUCUCACGCGUUGAAACUAUGAAAUCAGUAUUUUUUCAGAUAUGUUCGCCCAGGCGACUUCCGGGUAAGUUCUGGUUGUAGACGAUUUACAUGGAAAUCUUCUGGUCAAUGCAGAGGUUAGUUUUGCAAUUGACUUUUAAAUGUGUUUUUAGAGACGACUUACAUGGAAAUCGUCCAUCUUUGUUCGUUAAAAAAAAAAUAUGAGACGUCAUCUAGGUAAACGGGUUAGUUUUUCAAUUGACCGGAUUGUGUCAAAAAUUUGACUUUUCCUAGACGGCUUAUCCAUAAAUUGUCCAAUAGAAAAUUUUAAAAAAAUCAAUAUUUUGUUAUAUCUAGAUGACUUCCAUGUAAGUCAUCUAAGGUUAGUUUUGCAAUACAAAAAUAAAACAUAAAAAUUUAUUUUUUUCUAGACGACUUAUACGAAAGUCGUCCAUGAUUUUAUUCCAAGAUUCUGGUCAAACCUUGCUUAUCUUGGACGACUUCCAUGUAAGUCAACGGACGGAUGACUUCCGUGUAAGUUGUCUAUAAUUUUUUUUUUGUAUUUUUCAAUUGCAAAACUAACCUGAGACGACUACAUGGAAGUCAUCGAGGUAUAACAAAAUAUUGAUUUUUUAAUCUUUUACUAGACGGCUUAUGUGUAAGUCAUCCAGAAAAAGUCAAAUUUCUGAUACAAUCCAGUCAAAUGAAAAACUAACUUGUUUACCUUAGAAGACUUACAUGGAAGUUGUCUCAAAAAAGUUUUUUAACAAACAAAGAUGGACGACUUCCAUGUAAGUCGUCUAGGUUAAAAAUCAAUUGCAAAACUAAUCCAAAUGGACGGCUUCCUAGAAGUCUACCAAACGACCUACGUGGAAGUUGUAUGCGUCAAUGUUUAAUAAACUUUCAUUUUCUCUAAAACUAUAAAGACUUUUUAAUAUUUUCUUGUUAAUUCAUGUAUAUUAGUCGAUAUUUGAGCUCCUGAAUGAAAUUCACAACUUAAUUGGUUUUAAUUAUGAGUUUACCGACAUUCAUGUGUAUUAAUGUUUUCAGAAGACUUUCAUAGAAGUCUUCUACGUUAGUUUUUGUAAAUUUGUUAAAUAACUUUAAGAUAUGUUUAUUUGAUUUUCAAAAGUGUUAGGUAAAUUCAAGAAUAUCAAGUAUUAAAAUGUGUCUUCAUAGAUCAUAAGAUAUACUUUUUAAAUUCAAAAAAAUUGAAAUUUCAAUUUUCACUUAAAAUUUUGAGUUUCCUGCUUAAAUUAUAAUUUUCCGCUUAUAUUUCAAUUUUUCGCUUUAAAUUUAAGUCUUCGAAGAAGACUUCCGAGAAGACUUUUAAUGAAAGUGUUCUAUCUUUGAACUUAUGUAAUAGUUUAUCUUUUGUAAAUUUGACUAAUUUUUCUUGAGAAUUCUUCUCCCUUAGUUGAAAUAAAUUUGAUUAAUUUUUUUGUAUUAUUGUGUUUUGCUGUUAAGGUUAUAUCAAUAUACUUAUAUAAAACACAAAACAUACAUAUCCAAGUGGAAAAUGAGAACCAUCUGGUUAAGAACCUGCAACAAAAAGAUAGAUUAGUGAGAAAGAUACGAGACAAAAAUGAAAAAUUCAUAUAAAGUUUGGUGUUUUCAAGUCAAAGAGAUUAGAGUGGGUUUGGAGAGCUUUAGUUUGGAAAAAAAGUAAGAACUUUAUGCAACAAGAGAUUACCAAAUGAA